Long non-coding RNA from Oncorhynchus tshawytscha (Chinook salmon), 607 nucleotides. The record is from Ensembl. NCBI's taxonomy places the organism in Eukaryota, Metazoa, Chordata, Actinopteri, Salmoniformes, Salmonidae.
GGGGGGAAUAAACCUGGACAGAGUCUACAAUCACUGGAAAAGUGGUGAGAACAGAAGACAGAAUUUACAAGAUGCUGCACACACAGGAUGAUUUCCAGUACCAUAGGGCCAGUGGACAACGGAAAGGACAAGUGAAAUAAGUUAAGAGUCAUUAGGGUCCCAGCCGGGGGCGACCAUCCAGCCACAGUCAGGCAGCCAGACUUAAUCGCUCGCUCCACUAUCACCUGCCUUCCUAAGUAGGUUCCUAUGCUGAUUCGUGGGUUCUGGUCUGUUCAUUUACCACAGAGGAAGCCGGGUGAUUGUGACCAGAGCCUAUAGGCUAUGAACUAAAACAAGAGGCUCCCGAACUAAAACAAGAGGCUCCCACGCUGAGGUCUGUCCAAUGCUGGUCCGACCAAGCUGACUCCACACUCCAAGACUGCUUCCAUCACGUGGACUGGGAGAUGUUUCGUAUUGCGUCAGAUAACAACAUUGACGAAUACGCUGAUUCGGUGUGCGAGUUCAUUAGAACGUGCGUUGAAGAUGUCGUUCCCAUAGCAACCAUUAAAACAUUCCCUAACCAGAAACCGUGGAUUGAUGGCAGCAUUUGUGUGAAACUGAAAGCGCG